RNAcentral lists this long non-coding RNA (1334 nucleotides) under Nicotiana tabacum (common tobacco). Its description in RNAcentral is "long non-coding RNA (NTAB_LNC007389)". Lineage: Eukaryota; Viridiplantae; Streptophyta; Magnoliopsida; Solanales; Solanaceae. The record is from RNAcentral.
AAAUAUCAAUUAAGCAAGAUUAAAGUACUGAAGAAUUUAACAAAAUACACAAUAUAAUCUCACUAGGACCCGAUGUCACGAAUUUGAGCCUCUAGAAUACAGAAUAUCAUCCUAAUACAUGGUAUAUCCAAAGUCUGAUAAUGCGGAAAUAAAGAGAUAGGAUAGGAGGGAGAAGAUCAAUGGCUGCGAACGCCGUGCAGCUACCUCGAUACUCCCAGAAGCUGGAUCUACUGAGCCUGAGACUGCCUUGGAUCUGCACACAAGGUGCAGGGAGUAAAGUGAGUACUCCGACCCAGUGAGUAAUAAAAGUAACUACAGUCCGAAGAUAAGAAAAUCCAGUAAAUACACAAAGUAAGCUAAAAUCCAAAUAUAUAGCAACAUAUGGAACUGAGCAGCUAAACAACAGUAUAAAUAGAAAUCCAUGAAUGCAAUGCAAUGCAUAUGAUGGUACAUUCCAGUACCCACUGCGGCGUGCAGCCCGAGCCAUCCAUAUUUAUUUAUCGUCGACGGCGCUCACUGGGGGUGUGUACAGACUCCGUAGGGGCUCCUACAGCCCAAGCGCAAUAUCUUGGUCAGUCAUUGUUACCUGACCGGUCAGCCAUUGUUACCUAACCAAUUUAUAUCAUACAGUUCCAUUGUUGCCACUGUUCAAGUAUAUCAUCCAGUGUCAUUGUUACCACUAUUUCAAGUAUAUCACACAGUGUCAUUGUUACCACUGUUUCAAGUAUAUCACACAGUGUCAUUGUUACCAUUGUUUCAAGUAUAUCACACAGUGUCAUUGUUACCACUAUUUCAAGUAUAUCACACAGUGUCAUUGUUACCACUGUUUCAAGUCACUUUAUAAUCAGUCCAGAAAAUAAUAUAAUAAGCCCCUUGGGCAUUUACAAAACAGAAGUUCUCAUCCCGGAAUACAUUUAAAAAUAUCAUUUAAGUUUUCAACACUUAGAAUUAUGGCUGAGUUUGCAAAACAGCAUUUAAAACCUUGGACUGAAAUUAAAUGAUAUGCAAAUCAUGCUAAGCAGUAAUAUCAAUCCUCUAAGGAUUUUACAAAUCGGCACAAGGCCCCAAACAUGGCAUCAAGCCCCGUAAUAUCAAUGAAGUAUGUGUAUCAAUCACCAGUAUAGUAUAAACAUCACACGGGAUGGACCAAGUCACAAUCCCCAAUAGUAUUUGACCCUGCACUCGCCAUGGAGUGCGUGUCACACCUCAAUAUAGCGUUACGAUGUGAAAGUUCGGGGUUUCAAACCCUUAGAACAGCAUUUACAUCUAUUACUCACCUCUAACCGGCAGUAAACUAGUCCGCAAUGCCCUUUCCUCUUGAAUCGACCUCUUCG